ACGGAGGGGGUUAGCGUUGUUCGGAAUGACUGGGCGUAAGGCGCGCGUAGGCGGAUCAGGAAGUUGGGGGUGAAAUCCCGGGGCUCAACCCCGGAAUGGCCUUCAAAACUCCUGGUCUUGAGUUCGAGAGAGGUGAGUGGAAUUCCGAGUGUAGAGGUGAAAUUCGUAGAUAUUCGGAGGAACACCAGUGGCGAAGGCGGCUCACUGGCUCGACACUGACGCUGAGGUGCGAAAGCGUGGGGAGCAAACAGGA
RNAcentral lists this ribosomal RNA (253 nucleotides) under uncultured prokaryote. Its description in RNAcentral is "partial 16S ribosomal RNA". It matches the Rfam family "Bacterial small subunit ribosomal RNA", at positions 525 to 777 of the family's 1533-position model. The record is from RNAcentral.